AGAGUUUGAUCCUGGCUCAGGACGAACGCUGGCGGCGUGCUUAACACAUGCAAGUCGAACGGAGUCCAACUGAUCGCAAGUGAUGUGAAGACUUAGUGGCGAACGGGUGCGUAACACGUGAGAAACCUGCCCCGGUCUCUGGGAUAACAGUCGGAAACGACUGCUAAUACUGGAUGCCGCCGGCGGACCGCAUGGUCUGCCGUCGAAAGAUUUAUCGGAUCGGGAGGGUCUCGCGGCCUAUCAGCUAGUUGGUGAGGUAAUGGCUCACCAAGGCAUCGACGGGUAGCUGGUCUGAGAGGAUGAUCAGCCACACUGGGACUGAGACACGGCCCAGACUCCUACGGGAGGCAGCAGUGGGGAAUCUUGCACAAUGGGCGAAAGCCUGAUGCAGCAACGCCGCGUGCGGGAUGAAGGCCCUAGGGUUGUAAACCGCUUUCAGCAGGGAAGAAAUUGACGGUACCUGCAGAAGAAGGUGCGGCCAACUACGUGCCAGCAGCCGCGGUGACACGUAGGCACCAAGCGUUGUCCGGAUUU
Molecule: ribosomal RNA, 534 nt
Filed under: uncultured bacterium
Lineage: Bacteria
Description: bacterial SSU rRNA
Rfam family: Bacterial small subunit ribosomal RNA
Source: RNAcentral